RNAcentral lists this ribosomal RNA (605 nucleotides) under Staphylococcus aureus. RNAcentral describes it as "bacterial SSU rRNA". It matches the Rfam family "Bacterial small subunit ribosomal RNA", at positions 930 to 1533 of the family's 1533-position model. The record is from RNAcentral. Lineage: Bacteria; Bacillati; Bacillota; Bacilli; Caryophanales; Staphylococcaceae.
CGGUGGAGCAUGUGGUUUAAUUCGAAGCAACGCGAAGAACCUUACCAAAUCUUGACAUCCUUUGACAACUCUAGAGAUAGAGCCUUCCCCUUCGGGGGACAAAGUGACAGGUGGUGCAUGGUUGUCGUCAGCUCGUGUCGUGAGAUGUUGGGUUAAGUCCCGCAACGAGCGCAACCCUUAAGCUUAGUUGCCAUCAUUAAGUUGGGCACUCUAAGUUGACUGCCGGUGACAAACCGGAGGAAGGUGGGGAUGACGUCAAAUCAUCAUGCCCCUUAUGAUUUGGGCUACACACGUGCUACAAUGGACAAUACAAAGGGCAGCGAAACCGCGAGGUCAAGCAAAUCCCAUAAAGUUGUUCUCAGUUCGGAUUGUAGUCUGCAACUCGACUACAUGAAGCUGGAAUCGCUAGUAAUCGUAGAUCAGCAUGCUACGGUGAAUACGUUCCCGGGUCUUGUACACACCGCCCGUCACACCACGAGAGUUUGUAACACCCGAAGCCGGUGGAGUAACCUUUUAGGAGCUAGCCGUCGAAGGUGGGACAAAUGAUUGGGGUGAAGUCGUAACAAGGUAGCCGUAUCGGAAGGUGCGGCUGGAUCACCUCCUUU